CUACGGGACGCUGCAGUAAGGAAUAUUGCACAAUGGGGGAAACCCUGAUGCAGCAACGCCGCGUGGACGAAGAAGGCCUUCGGGUCGUAAAGUCCUUUUCUGAGGGAAGAGGAAGGACGGUACCUCAGGAAUAAGUCUCGGCUAACUACGUGCCAGCAGCCGCGGUAAAACGUAGGAGGCGAGCGUUAUCCGGAUUCACUGGGCGUAAAGGGCAAGUAGGCGGUUGUUUAAGUUAGGUGUGACAUCUCUCGGCUUAACUGGGAGGGAGCGCUUAAAACUAGGCAACUAGAGGGCGGAAGAAGGGGGUAGAACUCCAAAUGUAGCGGUGGAAUGCUCAGAUAUUUGGAAGAAUACCAGUGGCGAAGGCGACCCCCCGGUCCGUGCCUGACGCUGAGAGGCGAAAGCUAGGGUAGCGAACGGGAUUAGAUACCCCCGUAGUC
RNAcentral lists this ribosomal RNA (440 nucleotides) under uncultured bacterium. RNAcentral's name for it is "partial 16S ribosomal RNA". It matches the Rfam family "Bacterial small subunit ribosomal RNA", at positions 339 to 795 of the family's 1533-position model. The record is from RNAcentral.